RNAcentral lists this ribosomal RNA (632 nucleotides) under uncultured bacterium. RNAcentral's name for it is "bacterial SSU rRNA". It matches the Rfam family "Bacterial small subunit ribosomal RNA", at positions 56 to 681 of the family's 1533-position model. The record is from RNAcentral.
UGCAAGUCGAGGGGCAGCGCGGGAUAGCAAUAUCCUGGCGGCGACCGGCGGAAGGGUGCGUAACGCGUGAGCGACAUGCCCGUUGCCCGGGGACAACCGGUGGAAACGCCGACUAAUCCCCGAUGGGAUAUUGUGCCGCAUGGCACGAUAUUGAAAGUUACGGCGGCGACGGAUUGGCUCGCGUCCGAUUAGCUGGUUGGCGGGGUAACGGCCCACCAAGGCUGCGAUCGGUAGGGGUUCUGAGAGGAAGGCCCCCCACAAUGGGACUGAGACACGGCCCAUACUCCUACGGGAGGCAGCAGUGAGGAAUAUUGGUCAAUGGGCGGAAGCCUGAACCAGCCAUGCCGCGUGCGGGAAGGAGGCCCUAUGGGCUGUGAACCGCUUUUGCCUGGGGGCAAUAAGGGCGUCGCGCACGCCCGAUGAGAGUACCAGGCGAAUAAGCAUCGGCUAACUCCGUGCCAGCAGCCGCGGUAAUACGGGGGAUGCGAGCGUUAUCCGGAUUCAUUGGGUUUAAAGGGUGCGUAGGCUGUGCGUCAAGUCGGGGGUGAAAUUCCGGUGCUCAACACCGGGGCUGCCCUUGAUACUGUCGCGCUGGAGUGCGGAUGCCGCCGGAGGAAUGAGUGGUGUAGCGG